RNAcentral lists this ribosomal RNA (233 nucleotides) under uncultured bacterium. RNAcentral describes it as "partial 16S ribosomal RNA". It matches the Rfam family "Bacterial small subunit ribosomal RNA", at positions 118 to 347 of the family's 1533-position model. The record is from RNAcentral.
UGAGUAACCUGCCCUUAACUCUGGGAUAAGCCUGGGAAACUGGGUCUAAUACCGGAUAUGACUCCUCAUCGCAUGGUGGGGGGUGGAAAGCUUUUUGUGGUUUUGGAUGGACUCGCGGCCUAUCAGCUUGUUGGUGAGGUAAUGGCUCACCAAGGCGACGACGGGUAGCCGGCUGAGAGGGUGACCGGCCACACUGGGACUGAGACACGGCCCAGACUCCGUACGGGGAGCAG